ACUGCCAUUGAUACUGGAGACCUUGAGUACAAAUGAAGUAGGCGGAAUGAGUCAUGUAGCGGUGAAAUGCAUAGAUAUGACUCAGAACACCGAUUGCGAAGGCAGCUUACUAACAUGUAACUGACGCUGAGGGACGAAAGCGUGGGGAGCGAACAGGAUUAGAUACCCUGGUAGUCCACGCCGUAAACGAUCAUCACUCGCUGUUGGCGAUAUACUGUCAGCGGCCAAGCGAAAGUAUUAAGUGAUGCACCUGGGGAGUACGCCGGCAACGGUGAAACUCAAAGGAAUUGACGGGGGCCCGCACAAGCGGUGGAGCAUGUGGUUUUAUUCGAUGAUACGCGAGGAACCUUACCAGGGCUUAAAUGUAGUAUGACCGGUCUGGAAACAGACCUUCUCUUCGGAGCAGAUUACAAGGUGCUGCAUGGUUGUCGUCAGCUCGUGCCGUGAGGUGUUAGGUUAAGUCCUGCAACGAGCGCAACCCCUAUUCUUAGUUGCCAGCGGUUCGGCCGGGGACUCUAAGAAGACUGCCAGCGCAAGCUGAGAGGAAGGUGGGGAUGACGUCAAAUCAUCACGGCCCUUACGUCCUGGGCUACACACGUGCUACAAUGGUAGAGACAGAGGGCAGCCACCUGGUGACAGGGAGCGAAUCCUAAAACUCUAUCUCAGUUCGGAUCGAAGUCUGCAACUCGACUUCGUGAAGCUGGAAUCGCUAGUAAUCGCGCAUCAGCCAUGGCGCGGUGAAUACGUUCCCGGGCCUUGUACACACCGCCCCGUCAAGCCAUGGAAGCUGGGGGUACCUGAAGUCC
Molecule: ribosomal RNA, 806 nt
Filed under: uncultured bacterium
Lineage: Bacteria
Description: bacterial SSU rRNA
Rfam family: Bacterial small subunit ribosomal RNA
Source: RNAcentral